RNAcentral lists this unclassified non-coding RNA (1260 nucleotides) under Hevea brasiliensis (rubber tree). The record is from RNAcentral. Lineage: Eukaryota; Viridiplantae; Streptophyta; Magnoliopsida; Malpighiales; Euphorbiaceae.
AAGCGAUAUUGCAGUUGCAAGAUGACUAGAUGCCUGUAUAUAUGUGCCAACCUCCUCCACCACAUUGAAUCUUCAGUGCACUAAAGCUGUCUUUCAAAAUAGAAAAAUGGCUUCCGGUCUAGUACUUUUCUUCUUUUUUCUCAGUUCUCUUCUCUUCUUGUUUGUCUCUUCUUCCCAUUUUUCUUCUUCAGGAAACAAUGUUGCCAUGAAACCAGCUCCUCCUUUUCAUUCCCAGAAGAAAGCUGUAGCUAAUCCCGAGAAAGUAUCUGUGUCUUUGUAUUAUGAAACCCUAUGUCCCUAUUGCAGGAAUUUCAUUUUGGAUCCUCUCGCAAAGGCCAUCAAGACUGAUCUCAUGACCAUUCUUGAUCUGCAGCUGGUCCCCUGGGGCAAUGCUAUGAUUCUACCCGAUAGUACUGUCUCAUGCCAGCAUGGGGAAGAUGAAUGCUACCUUAAUAGCAUCCAUGCCUGUGUCAUCGACAUCUGGCCUGAUGUGAUUAUGCACUUCAACCUGAUUCAGUGCAUUGAAGAGCAGUCUUCUGCCAUGGGUCUUGGAAAUGGAGCAGAAGCAUUGUAUAAUGUAUGUGCAGAACAAUUGGGGUUCCCCGCAAAACCCAUUAAGGAUUGCCAUGAAAGCGCGCGUGGAAGAGAGGUUUGGCUAAUCUAUUUACACAGAACUCCACAUUGAAAUAUAAUUGAAUUCAUUGACAUGAAUGCUUCAUCCCUGAUAUGCAGCUUUUACUGCAAUACGGAAGUAGAACUGAUAGUCUCAAUCCGCCUCACAGAUAUGUACCAUGGGUGGUGGUGAAUGGAAAUCCACUCCUUGAGGUCACCCGGAAUCCAAUAUGCACAAAAUUUUGAUUCUUUUUUCUCCUCUUAUCAUCCCAAUAUUAUCUUCAUUUUUUUUUCCUGGAUGCAGAACUAUGAUAAUUUUGUAGAGUAUGUCUGCAAGUCAUACAGAGGCAAAUCUUUGCCCACAGCAUGUGUUUCAUAUCCCACCAGCUCAGUUUCUAAGGAAAGGUCACUCCACUCAGUUUGCCCUGCAGGUUUAGCAAGGCCAGCGAAGCAUCCGGCCAGGGUGCAGGAGAAUAUGGAGUCUUUGGCAUGAUUCUUGUGGUUCUUGUAUAUCAUCUCUCUGUUCAACAGGACAAGCACCUUUAUAAUACAAUAAUUAACUGGACCAUCUAUGUAUAGCUUUCUGGUCCACUUAAACUACUUCUAGUGAUGGUAGUUCAUUGAGCCAGAUGAUGUAAUUAAGGUUCU